Molecule: long non-coding RNA, 237 nt
Organism: Branchiostoma floridae (Florida lancelet)
Lineage: Eukaryota; Metazoa; Chordata; Leptocardii; Amphioxiformes; Branchiostomatidae
Exons: 3
Source: RefSeq, a predicted model, not a curated record
GAAGCAUCCGGAACGUUUGAUGUCACACCUCAAGACCAAGAUGCAUCCAAACAGGUUUUGGGAAACUUGCCACGCAACUACGCAAACUUGGAUGUUGCCAGAGCUGAGUAUGUCAGCCCGUUAGAGCACUCCCAGGCAAAGGGGGGCCGUUCUUUAGCCGCUAUACUCGAGGCGCCCUGCACGGUGAAGUGGUCCAAUUCUUACCAAAUCAAGCCCGCGGAGGAGGGAGGAAAGUGU